AAAAAUAAUUUUGAAUUAUUUUGCUAUAAUUAUGAAUAUUUUAAUUUAUACUAUCAAAAGAAA
This 63-nucleotide ribosomal RNA is filed under the name Campylobacter jejuni. RNAcentral's name for it is "partial 23S ribosomal RNA". The record is from RNAcentral. Lineage: Bacteria; Pseudomonadati; Campylobacterota; Epsilonproteobacteria; Campylobacterales; Campylobacteraceae.